This 416-nucleotide ribosomal RNA is filed under the name uncultured bacterium. RNAcentral describes it as "bacterial SSU rRNA". It matches the Rfam family "Bacterial small subunit ribosomal RNA", at positions 355 to 786 of the family's 1533-position model. The record is from RNAcentral.
UGGGGGAUAUUGCACAAUGGGGGAAACCCUGAUGCAGCGACGCCGCGUGUGGGAAGACGGUCCUCUGGAUUGUAAACCACUGUCCCCAGGGACGAAGAUGACGGUACCUGGGGAGGAAGCUCCGGCUAACUACGUGCCAGCAGCCGCGGUAAUACGUAGGGAGCGAGCGUUGUCCGGAAUUACUGGGUGUAAAGGGAGCGUAGGCGGGGUUUGCAAGUUGGGUGUCAAAUCUACCGGCUCAACUGGUAGUCGCACUCAAAAUCUGCAGCUCUUGAGUGGAGUAGAGGCAGGCGGAAUUCCUAGUGUAGCGGUGAAAUGCGUAGAUAUACGGAGGAACACCAGUGGCGAAGGCGGAUUGCUGGACAGUAACUGACGCUGAGGCGCGAAAGCGUGGGGAGCAAACAGGAUUAGAUACC